Long non-coding RNA from Xiphophorus couchianus (Monterrey platyfish), 885 nucleotides. RefSeq lists it as uncharacterized. The transcript is spliced from 3 exons. The record is from RefSeq and is a predicted model, not a curated record. NCBI's taxonomy places the organism in Eukaryota, Metazoa, Chordata, Actinopteri, Cyprinodontiformes, Poeciliidae.
ACAGGAAGGUUAGCAGAAUGAGUGAGCUGUUGCACUAAACAGUCUAGCAUAAACCAUUAAAACAUCCAAACACAUUUUGCUCAUCAAAGUAAAUCCUGUAAAGCAGUUUAGAUGAAAGUAAAAAUAUGGUGCAAAAGCUCUGAGCACAAGUACAGAAUACUACGCCAGCUUCACCAGACAUGCACAAAACAAACAUGCAAUACAAAAAGUUUAUUAAUCUAAAAAGAUCUUUUGCGUUUUAACAUCCUUACACCUUUGAAAACAGAGCUGUAAGUUUUUGAAACUCAUUUUAAUAAAGUACAGUUUUUCAAAGCUCCACUGGCAGCUGCAAGUAAUCCAUUUUAAUGUCAACCAAAUGAGAAAACAUUUUUAUCCAACAUUUGUACAAAUAUCUAGUUAAAAGCAUUUGGACCAGCAUGAUACUAGAAAAUGUAUUGCGAUAUUUAUUUUUAUUUCUUACAAAGUAAGCAAUGUCAUAAACAAGAAGUCAACUUUAUCAUUUAGAGGUUCUCGGUUAAAAAAAUUUGAAUAGUUGUAGGCAUCAGAUGAAAUAGUAAUAAACUCAACAAAAACAAUCCUGUAAACAGCAUUCUUUAAUCUUUCAACAUUUUAAAGAUUUUAAAUGAAAGAGACAGUCUAUUAUCACAACAUGCUUGUUCAAGAGGGAAUGCUGCAUCAGUGCAAUAUGGUGGGUUUACUUAUAAAAUUGGAACCAAUUUGAACCAUUUCUCCUUCUAGACAAUGCACUUCACUUGACCAUGUCUCUCUCUGUGUCCUGGAUAAAGCUGUUGGCUGAGAUUUUCGCUGCAACUUUUUCAUCCUGUAGCCGUUUAAACCAGCUCAGAGUUUAUCUGUUACGUUUCUUCCAGAUGAAGCCUCAGAAGU